GAUGAACGCUGGCGGCGUGCCUAAUACAUGCAAGUCGAGCGAAUGGAUUAAGAGCUUGCUCUUAUGAAGUUAGCGGCGGACGGGUGAGUAACACGUGGGUAACCUGCCCAUAAGACUGGGAUAACUCCGGGAAACCGGGGCUAAUACCGGAUAACAUUUUGAACCGCAUGGUUCGAAAUUGAAAGGCGGCUUCGGCUGUCACUUAUGGAUGGACCCGCGUCGCAUUAGCUAGUUGGUGAGGUAACGGCUCACCAAGGCAACGAUGCGUAGCCGACCUGAGAGUGUGAUCGGCCACACUGGGACUGAGACACGGCCCAGACUCCUACGGGAGGCAGCAGUAGGGAAUCUUCCGCAAUGGACGAAAGUCUGACGGAGCAACGCCGCGGGAGUGAUGAAGGCUUUCGGGUCGUAAAACUCUGUUGUUAGGGAAGAACAAGUGCUAGUUGAAUAAGCUGGCACCUUGACGGUACCUAACCAGAAAGCCACGGCUAACUACGUGCCAGCCGCCGCCGUAA
This 515-nucleotide ribosomal RNA is filed under the name uncultured bacterium. RNAcentral's name for it is "partial 16S ribosomal RNA". It matches the Rfam family "Bacterial small subunit ribosomal RNA", at positions 28 to 523 of the family's 1533-position model. The record is from RNAcentral.